ACCGCCUGCUGUUCUUCCCAUAAGGGAUGGAGGAAGCAAAUCUUUCACAAAUGUUCCUUUUUUCAUACUAGCAAAUGGAAGAACCAAACCAAUCCAAAUCUCACUUUUUAAGGGAAUUAAAUUUUGAGAUGAGGACAUUUAGCCUCAGCUCCAGGGUGACCUCUUCUUGGAAUGGCUCUGCACCACCCCCCAGAUCCCUCCGCUGCCCAGUUCUGAGCCCCAGGAGGCUGACCUCUGCAGAAUGUAUUACCCUGGUGCCCUGUCUGGUGGAUUUCUGGUUAAAUUCAGCCAACCUGCGAGACUGGUGGGAGAUUGGAGGGCAGGAAGAAAGAGAAAGAGCACUGUUUCCUCUUCUUGCCUGUCCACCCCGGCGGAGGUGAUGGCUUCCCAGUGUCGCAACAACAGCCUUGUGGGUUCCUUAGCUUGCCCACAGCUCUGUGUCUGGUCCCUUCACCAAACUCUUGGUU
This 467-nucleotide long non-coding RNA is filed under the name Equus caballus (horse). RNAcentral's name for it is "lncRNA (ENSECAG00000059037.1)". Lineage: Eukaryota; Metazoa; Chordata; Mammalia; Perissodactyla; Equidae. The record is from RNAcentral.